RNAcentral lists this ribosomal RNA (207 nucleotides) under uncultured bacterium. RNAcentral describes it as "partial 16S ribosomal RNA". It matches the Rfam family "Bacterial small subunit ribosomal RNA", at positions 568 to 774 of the family's 1533-position model. The record is from RNAcentral.
CGUCUAGGCGGAUCAGUUAGUCGGCUGUGAAAGCCCCCGGCUUAACCGGGGAAGUGCAGCCGAAACUGCUGGUCUUGAGGUCGAGAGGGGAGAGUGGAACUCCUGGUGGAGCGGUGAAAUGCGUAGAUAUCAGGAGGAACGCCGGUGGCGAAAGCGACUCUCUGGCUCGAUUCUGACGCUGAAGCGCGAAAGCUAGGGGAGCGAACG